AGACAAAUUAACCUGUCAAAUAAAUUCUUGCAUAAUGAAGUGUCGUUUCCCAGUCGUGCCCAGUGCCCAUUUUCUCUACAUGUUUCAAUUUAUGGUUCUGGAGGCAUUUGUGGAAUAGUACAGUAUCUGGAAGACUUGCACGUGAGGGCGGAUGCCUGUUACUCUUGAAUUUGUGUAUGUGUAGGUCUAGACUGGCACUGUCCAAUAGAAAUGCGAGAGCCACAGAGGCAAUCUGCAGUUUUCCAGUCGCCACAUUUAAAAAAAAAUAAACAGAUUGUUGAAAAUGAGCGUAAGUCAAGAUUUUGAUAGAAAAAGAACACUUAAGAGGAACUCACAAAAGAAAAAAAAAGCUGAAAGGAAAAAAGAAGCAAAAAACUCUUCAAAGAAAUGGUCUGCUUUCAUUUUUAAAAACAAAACAGUAAAAGUAAGCAGUCUUCUUCCAGGAUGAUUCACAUAAAAUUCACAGACAGGACAUUACAAAUUAUUUGCUCAAUGAAGAUUUAAUUACUUAUCAAAACAAUGAAAAUUGUUGAGGCUGUUAUUCUCAUCAAGUCCAUAACUUGAACAGUUCAGAUGAAAUCGCUGCAGCUUCGUGUUCUUUAGUGAAGGAGACUUCGUUGAGAAUGACGAAGAGUCACACACACAGUUAGCACUGGGGGGAAAAGACUGAAUAAACAACAAAUGAUGCUGGAGAAAGCCAAGAUAGAAAACAUCAACGUAAUGUUCUUGAAAGAAUAAUACAAUGUGUCCAAUAUUUAGCCAAGCCUAACGAUGCUUUUCAUAGCACCACCAACACAGUGUUUGCAGAAAACAACAGAAAAUUUCUAAGUUUUGUAAAAAUUAUUUCAAAAUUUCAUAAAACGCCAAACAUGUAAAUAGGACAAAAAAUAUUGAAACUAAUGAUCACUAUCUGGGAUAGAGAAUUCAAACAGAUGAAUUUAAUGGGUAAGAAAGCAAGAGAUAAAAUAAUAUGUAAUUUAAAAAAAAAAUACUCAGUUCAACUAGAAUGUACCACGGUCAGAAGACAUGUCGAAAAACUAACAUUUAAAAGACUGUCAAAGGUGAGCCUGUGAUAAUGGAGCUAAUAUGGUUGGUAAAUAAAAGGUUAAUAAGUACGAAGUUUGGCCGAGAAUCCAGAGAUGUUCUAUGUGACAUGUGCAGUUCACAGUUUGCAUUUGUUUCUAGGAGACAGGCCCUCCGCUGUGCCGAUAAUAAUGACGUUGUGGGACAGUAGAGCAUCCAUUAACGCGAUUUUCUAGAUAGGCCCAAAGAUGGAACAGCUUGAUGAAACUUUCAGACUCAUGGAGGGAAUACCAACGAAAUGCUGUUAGGGUCGUUAAGUUGAAUUUAGAUAGAAGAGUCGAGCAGAACCACAAACGACCCUCAAGGAGCAAGUCCUGGACUGUGGCAGAAGGUGAAGGUGAUGGUGCAUUUGCACUGUCUGCAGUUCUUUAGUGUGAACUGUUCAUUUCUAUCGAUAAGCUUAACAAAAGCUUUAAAAAAAUUCGGCUGUUUCACUUUUAAAGGAUUAAAUUUUUUUUUAAAGUUUAGAAAAACAAAAGCAAAAAUGCAUGUUAAAUACACAAGAAAAAUGACAUUCCAAUAAAAUAUAAGCAAAUUGAAACAAGGAAACAACUAUUUGCCUAAGCUGAAGGGAAAGAUUCAUCUAUAAAAAAAUCCCCAAAACAGUUUCUGUAGAGGCUCUUUUUCUGUUCAUUAUAAAUCAAAGCAUAGUACCAUUCAAAGAAAGAUUUGAACAGAAUGCAACAAGAUACUGCUGUUUUCAGUUUUCUUUAUAAUAUACCAUCAUUGAAAUUUGAAAGAAGUUAAGAUAUUCUGCAUGGAUCUAAAUACUGCUUAAGAGAUGAUGAAAAUGACUAUCAUAAAUGAUUGUGAUUUAUAUGAUCAAAUUAAAAUAUGUAAUAUCUUCUGUGAUAAUUCUUCAUCAUAAUUAAAUUGUCAUCACUGGUA
Molecule: non-coding RNA, 1971 nt
Organism: Equus caballus (horse)
Lineage: Eukaryota; Metazoa; Chordata; Mammalia; Perissodactyla; Equidae
Source: RefSeq, a predicted model, not a curated record